Alnus glutinosa is the source of this 672-nucleotide long non-coding RNA. RefSeq lists it as uncharacterized. The transcript is spliced from 3 exons. The record is from RefSeq and is a predicted model, not a curated record. Lineage: Eukaryota; Viridiplantae; Streptophyta; Magnoliopsida; Fagales; Betulaceae.
UUGAACAUGGUGUGAGGCGCACACCUGCGCCGAAGGGCCAUCUGGCCCUUCAUGCGAAAAAAAAAAAUGGCGCUGGGCGCCUUAUAUUGAGAAAAGAGGCAGUGAACCGCUUUUCUCAAAUAUUCCGGAAAUUGUGAGGUUCUCUAAAGGUGUUUCUAUGAAAAACUUUGAUCUAUGAAGAUUUAACGGUUCGAUCUUCAAUUCAAUUUUGAUAACGUAUCUACGAUGCCCGAUCUAAAUUUUUAUCGAUUGGUUUGAGGAUUUGUUGUGAGGAGCUUGCUAAACACUCUCCAAGUGUUGGAUUUACAUUUGGUGGAAUUUUUGAUGAUGUUCUUUUGGUUGCAGGUAUUCCGGUCGUAGUUGAUGGUGUUGUAGAAGUGAACUUGGGAUAUUAUAACCGAAGUUCGCCGCGAUAGUCAUAUUUGUGGGACUAUGGGCGUCCUUUAUUUUAUAGGUUUGGUAUAUGUCUUGUGACGCUUGAGUCACAUAUUAUUUGUAAAGCCAUUUUUUGAUGCAAUUAUUAUUUGGAUAAGCCUUAAACAGAUAGACAUAAUGACUCUUUUUGCGUAAAUAUCAGUUUAUGUUUAUAGAUGUGACUUCUGCUGUUCAAAUUAUGUUUUCCGCUGCAUAAAUGUUAUUAGGUGUGUUACUCUGAUUAUCAGGUAUAUAUUA